CGGACGGGUGAGUAACGCGUGGAAAACCUGCCGUAUACUGGGGGAUAACACUUAGAAAUAGGUGCUAAUACCGCAUAAGCGCACAGCUUCGCAUGAAGUGGUGUGAAAAACUCUGGUGGUAUACGAUGGUUCCGCGUCUGAUUAGCUUGUUGGUGGGGGUAAUGGCUCACCAAGGCGACGAUCAGUAGCCGGCCUGAGAGGGUGAACGGCCACAUUGGGACUGAGACACGGCCCAAACUCCUACGGAAGGCAGCAG
This 256-nucleotide ribosomal RNA is filed under the name uncultured bacterium. Its description in RNAcentral is "partial 16S ribosomal RNA". It matches the Rfam family "Bacterial small subunit ribosomal RNA", at positions 99 to 354 of the family's 1533-position model. The record is from RNAcentral.